Molecule: non-coding RNA, 2421 nt
Organism: Zonotrichia albicollis (white-throated sparrow)
Lineage: Eukaryota; Metazoa; Chordata; Aves; Passeriformes; Passerellidae
Source: RefSeq, a predicted model, not a curated record
CUCUUUUCAAUUGUGCCUAAAUAUGUGUUUACCUUGACAUAGUUUGCUGUUUGCAUCUCAUCUCAGAGGCACAAUUUAUGAGGUAUGAUCAACACUGAAAAGUUUUCCUGAGCAAUGAGAAAUGCAAUUUUGGUAUACAAACUAUAAGUCUAUCAUUCCCCAGAAGAGAAAUAUUUGCCCUAUAUGUGUUUGAGAAAUGUUGAGACCUCUUACUUAUUCAUGGUGUUAAACAAAACAUAUACAGAUCUGCAGGUUGGUUGUGGUUUUGCCUUUGUGGUUGGGAAGCUGAAUGGAGACAGGAAUCCCACUGAGACAACGUGUUACACAAAUGUGCCCAGCAGAGCCAAACUCCUUCUUUACUGGCCACAUGGACAAGAUUUCAGGCAUAUGAAACUCUGUCAGAAGGAUACCUCCCACAGCAUCCAGUUCUGAUGGGGAUUUCACCAUCAAUCUCCUUCAAGCAUAUCAAGAAUGGCUACUGGGUCUUCUGAAGAUGAUCUCCAGAACAUUUUUGCAUAAGUACAGAUACAAAUAACUAUGAACGAUGAGUCAAAUGUCAGGUGUGAUGCUUGGAGCUACAACACUGCAUUAAUCUUCAACUUGGAAAUUUUUUUCCCUUUCUUCCUUCAAAUCUGUUUCGUCUGAAGGGUUAUCCCCCUCAGCUGCUCAAGUGCGAGAUCUGUUACCCAGUUUCAACUUCUCCGUAAUCCCUCUAUUUAAAGGUGAGAUAAUCAGCUUUUGUUGGGUUGACUUGGAUCUAAGACAAUCUCCAGCCUAAAGACAAAGAAGAGCCCACAUGAAGAGAAUGCAGAGUCUCUGCUUGCCUGCAGAGAGAGGAGGUGGCCUUUUAUGCUCUUUCCAACACCGAAAAUUCUCAUGCCCUGCAAAUCCCAGCAGUAUAACUUAGAGCAUUACCCACAGACAAAUGGUCCCGUUAGGAAGUGAAUAUUAUUUGUAUAGCAGGCUCAAGAACGUGCCAGAAUAUUUGGCAUGGGUGAUCAUCCCAAGAGGAAAAGAAUAAACUCUUUGUUCUUCAAGUGAUGGCACACAGUGCUGCUUGGGAAGCUACCUCCCAGUUUCUGUUGAUUGUCACUUUCCUUUGACAAUUGUAUAUAUUGUGGAAGAGAGACAGACCAACCUUCUUUACUUUUUUUUCCUUCUUUCCUUCUGUCUCUCCACAGUUCCCCCCACAUGCUUCUUCCUCCUGAAUUUAAAGCUAUGAAAAAUCACUGGACAGAAAAGUGGUGAGAACAAAGUGGUUCAUACGCACAGAGGUUGUGCAGCCAUCCAGGCUACCUCACCAGCAUGCAUCAAAGUGUCUGAAGAGAGGCUCAGCAUUUCCCUGGGAAAAUGUAUUCCUAUAUCAUUUCUGUUUCGAUCUCCUGUCAGAAGAGGCCCACAGAAUUGUACAACAGAUUCAAAGUUUGGGCUUCUCCCCACUACAGAAAUCCCUCAGGAGCUACAUUUCAGCCUGACAUUCUGGGCCACAGGAAGGAAAAGAAAUACAGGAUAUUGGAAAAAAUCCCCACAAGGUGACGAGUGUCUUCAGAGACUGACUAAAUGAACAGUUUUGUUAUCUACAAACAUGUUUCACUCUGCAGUUCUAUUUCGUGCUUUUGAUAUUUCAGGGUUUGAGGUAUAUCUGGGAGUAAACAAACACUGCUGCAUCAGAAUUUCAGCAAGAAAGCAAUUCCCAUUUUAGGACUAGGUUAGGGAAAGGGCCUAAAGGAAGAAUGUUUAUGCGCAGUGUAUUUCUCUAGGAAACUGAUGGCAUAAAUGCUUAGGGAACAAAUAACUUUAUUCAAGCCCCUGGGAUAGGGUUCCAGAUUCUGGCUGGGUCCAGUAGAAGUUGUCAUACAAUAAAUACCCUUGCUCUUCACAACAUAAAAUAGGUCCAUAACUCUGCAGCUGUGAGAGGCUAAGGGAAAAUGUAUCUGGAAUUGCCAGAGAACUGAUAAGUGUUGCUAAACACAUGCUAAUGAACUCACUGAACAAGGCAACAUGGGUCAGAUCUGAUCCUGUGUGCAAGCCUCUAGAGGCUCACCUGUAAGUGGGCAGUAUCAGGAAGAAAUUCAAUAGACUCUCUGAAAAAGACAGGCAGAAGAACAGUCCAAUAUUUCCUCACCCCGGCGUAGGGACCUGCUGCGGAUCAGAUGUGGGAGCAUGGAGAUGGUUGGGAGGCACACAAGAAGGGAUUGCUUCCAAGGGGUGGGUCAGAGGGAUGUGCCACACCCUCUUUCAUUGCAGUCUUAUGAUUUCACUAUUACAGAUUCAAACUUGGCACAUGCAAAAGUUGAAGUUCCCAUGGCAACAGUUACUUCUACCACAAUUCCUGCCUGGUGUACUUAUCAUACGCAUUUAGCGUCAAACAGGAAUACAUUACAUGACACAUUUAACAACGUAAAAUAGAAAAGAAAAUGC